CAUAUCAAUAAGCGGAGGAAAAGAAACCAACAGGGAUUGCCUCAGUAACGGCGAGUGAAGCGGCAAAAGCUCAAAUUUGAAAUCUAGCACCUUCGGUGUUCGAGUUGUAAUUUGAAGAUGGUAACCUUGGGUUUGGCUCUUGUCUAUGUUCCUUGGAACAGGACGUCAUAGAGGGUGAGAAUCCCGUCUGAUGAGAUGCCCAUUCCUAUGUAAGGUGCUAUCGAAGAGUCGAGUUGUUUGGGAAUGCAGCUCUAAGUGGGUGGUAAAUUCCAUCUAAAGCUAAAUAUUGGCGAGAGACCGAUAGCGAACAAGUACAGUGAUGGAAAGAUGAAAAGAACUUUGAAAAGAGAGUGAAAAAGUACGUGAAAUUGUUGAAAGGGAAGGGCAUUAGAUCAGACUUGGUGUUUUACGAUUAUCUUCUCUUCUUGAGUUGUGCACUCGUAUUUCACUGGGCCAGCAUCGAUUCGGAUGGCAAGAUAAUGGCAGUUGAAUGUGGCUUCACUUCGGUGGAGUGUUAUAGCUUCUGCUGAUAUUGCCUGUCUGGAUCGAGGGCUGCGUCUUUUGACUAGGAUGCUGGCGUAAUGAUCUAAUGCCGC
RNAcentral lists this ribosomal RNA (596 nucleotides) under Hansenula anomala. Its description in RNAcentral is "Wickerhamomyces anomalus partial 26S ribosomal RNA". It matches the Rfam family "Eukaryotic large subunit ribosomal RNA", at positions 39 to 648 of the family's 3401-position model. The record is from RNAcentral. Lineage: Eukaryota; Fungi; Ascomycota; Saccharomycetes; Phaffomycetales; Wickerhamomycetaceae.